CCAAGCUACAGAUUUCUUUAUUUUGUGAGUCACAUCUAACUUACACGCCAGAAAGUGACUACCCCGUUAAUUCUUUAAUGAAGGGGAAAAUUCGAGAAUAAAUUUCCAUGAAAAUUUUGAAGUUAUCAAUUUGUCAAAACAUGUAAAGCAAUCAGCAGACGUGGAUGUCAAACCAAAUAUUUCGCAAUAUUCCCUGGAUUUUUGGUCGACGGAAAUAUUUCUUACAACGUGCUGGCAGAAAUGCAUAUUAUACAUAUACGAAAUUCGUCUAACAUGUUUCGACUUCUUCACCAACCAUGCGAAACCUUUCGUAAAUACGUCGACAUAUUUACCUGUCAAAUACACACUCUUAUGUACCUGACCCGAUUUCCAAGAAUUUCGUAAGAUGAUCGAAUUAAUUAGGCAUCAGCAUUUCUUUGUUGGAGAAUGGUUCAAAAAUUUAAAAAAUAAGUUGUCGGAUGGACAAUGCAAGAGACAGACACCAAUUCCUGAGGCCCAAGUUAAGAAUGCUCAAGUUACAAAUACGUUUCAAAUAGUGUAAAAAUUGACAAAAAAAUCUCGACGUACUAUUUACAUCUGUCGUAACUCAUUUAAAAUUUAGUUUAAUGUACACUAAUUUAUUUAGUGUAUACGUAGAGCCACGAUGUGAACCAGGAAGGGUCAUGCAUAUAUACAUUUAUGUGAGUGAGAAGUUAUCUCAAAAUCAGCUCAAAAUUAGCCUCUCACGAAAAAUCAAAAAUAUUGGAACUUAAAUAUAUACAGCGUUACGUAAUUAAUUUAAUACAUGUUAUCCACUUAACUGUUCAUCUCAGGCAGACCUUCUUGCUAAAUAGUAGCUUCUUCGGUGGCAUGAUUGAAGGACUUUGCAAAAUAUGUAAAAGUGCAACGUUUUUGGACAAAAAUGCGGAAUUUGUGAGUAGCAGAUAUUUUAUAUUUUAAGGUGGGGGAAAAUUUCCAACUCUUGAACAACAUUUUCAUAUAAUCGUCGUUGGGAAAAGCAAGAUCAAAUGUGGGAUGACUGUAAUUUCUGUGUCGCUUCAGCGACUAGUGCCCAAGGCAUUGCACACGAGAGAGAUAAUCGCUCAUUAUUAAGUAGACUCGGCUGACUUAUCAAGUGUUACAUUGUAUUUAGAAGAUGGACGUCUUUGGCGUCGUAUGAUUAGAUUGCAUUAGAUUUAUUUUCUCUCAUGAAGUUUUCAUUGCUGUCUGUAAUAGGAGUGACCACGCUACCUAUCUCGUCAACGUAAGAGUCGUCGCAUAAAGAAGCAAAUUUGAUUUUCUGAGGAUUAACAUGAACAUAACCGUAUAAUGAGGGAUAAAGGCGCUUUGUUGCCGGAUUUACCCAUAUAGUUCCGUCCUGCUAUCUUAGAAUAUAGAAUCCGAAUUGAGUUGUUCAGCAACGUGCAGAAUGGCGUUGACAAAUCCCAGGCCCGUCAGACAGACCUUCAGGUCUUAUCUUGCGCAUAACGUCAGUGCUGGGUACUGUAAAAAUGUUAUGUAUCCGACGAAGCGGUGGAAUGUCACGAUGGUGCUGAAUAUGCACUUUCGGUCUUCUUGAGGGCUUCAGUUUUUCUUUUAAUUUGUCUCUUUGUCCCAUUUUGCUGGUUUACAAGUUCUGAUUGUUUGAAAUAAUACAAACUUUCCAGCUAGGGCACAUUCAAGCAUAAUGUCUUGCUCGUAUUUAUCAGCCAACGUGGCCUGCGUCCAGUGUCGCUCUAGUUGCAACUCUUCAAGGGGGUUCACUACUUUACGUAAUUAUUCCUCAAUGGAUGACAUAUGAUGUUGGAAGUGGAUUAGUCUCGGUUUGCACGGGGUAACUCGGGUGUACUUGUUUUUUUACUUUUCUUAUUUGCGUGGUCCUUUGGGGAGAUUGAUUAUUCCCUUUUGUUACGCGGAAGGAUCCGAGUAUGUGGGACAUACAAGGAUCUAUAAUUAGGCGCUGAUACGACGACGAGAAAGAGAGAGACAGAGGGUGUUCAGUAUGGAUUUAGGGUUAGGAUAAGUGUGGUGUGGACCACGGUAUUAGUUAGUCGUGGAUAAGUUAGGAUAAGUAGUCAGUAAGUGGAAUGGAAAUAAAGGAAGAUUACAAGGAAGAAUAGCCCGAGACCCCUUAUUUCUCAACCCACCACCAUCGAUCUCGCGUAACAUGGGGGCUCAACCCCAGUUGGACCUUCCUGUGGGGACGUGCCUCUGGGGCAUCGUUUCCUCAGGACUCCAACUCGGACUCGGUCUGGAGACGCGACGAAUCUACUGCGGUGGGGAAAUCUACCUAAGGUUCGGGUAUUAAAAUUCCUUGUUCCUUAAAUUGCACUAACACGUAACAAUAAAUAAUUGUCUUACAAUUCGACUCGAUAAUAAUCGGUAUGUACGGGUAUGAAGUUGGCAUUGUUCAGUAGAUAUAUGAGCAGUUCUGGAAAAUCGUAUUGACGAAUUGGAGACGAUAGUCUCACUAUUCAUGUCAGUGCGAUUGGCAGGAACUAGCUCAUUUUUUAAUUUUAAACCGUUCUGGGGGAGGAGGUUGUUCUGGUCUGGUGGGGAGUUCGAUAGUACUGCCCUAUCGGUCAGCUGCAGCUAGCUUACCUGGAGCGGAUUGGUAGUUUAUUCGGAAAAAUAUUUGCCUUCAUUGUCACCCCGUAUUUUUUUGUGUGGUUAACUAACUCGAGUAAUAUUGCAUAAUAAUGCAUAACCAAGUGUGUUACUAACUUUUACGGCAUUAAAAUGAGCAGAGCACGGUUAGGUAUUCAUCUUUAACUAUCUUAAAUUUGGGAUAAAAUUUAUUGGCAAAUUUUAUUAUGCAUAUAAUAUAGGGGUACACGGAAAUUUUUGAAAACUUCAGCAAAAUUUUGGGAAUCUCAUAAUUCAUGGUAUUAUUUAAAAUAUAUAUUAGACUACAUAUCUCAUCCGCCCCAUUUUUAGGAAUUUAUGCGAAUAAUUUAUUAAAAACUUCAGGAAAUCAUAUCAAUACGUAUGUACGGGUCAUAUUUUCUAGUCAUGCGAGAAUAAAUUUUUAGUACAGUAGAUAAAUAUUAGCAGAUAAAUAUUCGAUGUAUGACCGGGUGCAUCUCUAUACCCAAAAAUAAAACUGAAUGUGGCAAGUUAAAAAUAUAUGAGCCGUUUUCCCCGCAUAAACAAUUCGACUUUAGAGCAGCAGGAAACCAACAUUUAACCCAUCUUUGACGUAAAUCUAAGCCCAGAAAUGCAUCGCAACCUUCACAGCACACACAAAAAUAGAUCACUAGUAUGGCACCCUAAAUAAUAAGUUGUUUGCAAAUUCUGUUCUUCAAAUUUCUUGUGGGCACCUUGAUCAUUUCAAUUAUUGCAGUGUAAUGCAUGUAUUCGUUCCUGACGUUAGCAGAUGUUCUGACAAAUUUAUUUUUGUCCAUGUCCAGAAAAGGAAUUACCUCAUAAAUUCUUUGUGUAAACUUUGACAGGCUGAUAAAUUUAGCUUUCGCAAGCAUUCACUACUAGCACAAAUACGAAAAACGCCAUACGAAAUAAAUAAAUAUAUAUAUAUAGCUUUGUAAUGUACUAGUAAGUUACAAAGUGGAACGUGAUCCGGGAUCCGACUACGUCAUAAACCCACGAAAGUGGAAUUUUAUUUUUAUCCCAGAAAUUAUCACUCACUCGUUUCUUCCCGGCACUAAACAAAACAAGAGUAAAGUUGGCAAGGAUUGUCGUUCUUAUCGUUCUACUUAGGUACAUACAUACAGGUAUUAGUCUCGGGGUUAAUAAUGUUCAUGCAUGCAGUGUGACAGUGACACUGUAACUGCAUUUUGUACGCUUAGCCUAGGCCGUACCGAUUCUUAUUUUCCCACAAAUCGUCAGGGUUCAAAUGGACGCAUUUUUUAUUCGGACUCAAAAUACUGGAUGAGACGGGUUUUAUUAUAUCAUUACUUUCACCCGUAUACAUAUCAUUCAUACACCAGGGCGGCACCGUAGUUUUAAUUACAUAAAAUCGCAAUUUCUUCGCAUCAUUGUUUGGUACAACUGGCGUAAAAUUAAUUAACAAAAGGGGAAUCGCCAAAAAAAGUAGGUACAAAAUAAUCAGAAAUUUAGCAAUUGACAAUGAUGAAAAUUUGAAAAAAAAAGAAUUGGGUUCAUACGUUUGAAUGCAUUUCAUAAUCUAAGGUCGUGCACGCACCAUAUUUUCUGGUUAUUUGAAUCUGCUGAAAUUUAUAUAAUAUAAUGUGGAUAGUUUCUGCAUAACAAACGAUAAAAAUAAGCCAAUUAGAAAAAAAAGGUGAAAAAGUCACUUUCUCCGUUCACCAUUUUCUUAAUGUGAGUUCAUAUUCACACAUAUAUUGGUGACGACAUGCAAGCACAAUAAAAUGGAAAAAUGAUAUAAAAAGGGGACUAGGUAAUCAGUUGCAGUGGUGUGAGAGCUGCAAUAGAUUAGGAGGAAGCAUAGUUUGAGUCAGACGUGACUUCGGCCGUGGUCCACGUGGUAAAUAGAAGUAAGAAAAAUUAUGUAAAUGCAUGGAAUAUGCAUAAUAACUGGCAAAAUCACUGCAGAUGAAAUUGAUAAUUCCUGCAAAAUAUAAUAAUUCCUGCAGAGGAUAUCAUUCCUGCAGAGGUAAUAGGAAAUUCGAAUUCCGGUCCUAAAGGGACGCGUGUUUGACCUGGUCGCGCCAGGAAAAUCAGAAGGGGACUGGUCGCUACAGUAUCUCUUAUCUGAUGGGUUUCGUAAAGAUUCACAAUUUAUACGAAAAUUGUGCAUGAUACAUUCCUCUCAUUAUUAAACACUGAGUAGAAUAAUACGUCAUAAGCUAGAUAGAAAAAUGAAGCUGUUUCGCGUAUAUGUACAUAUUCAUCAUCUCGUUGUUUUUAAGAUUUUAAUGAAACACUUGUGUGCUUAGAAAAAUUGAGUUUUCAUACUCGAUUAGUAACCCAAAAUGGAUCAGUAUCAUAAGUAUUCUUCGGUCAAAAGAAUACUUUGGAUAAAGGUCAAUGUUUUAUUCAGAAGGGCUGACCACCUUACUGCAUACAAACAAAAUCAAAAUCUGCACCACUUUACAUUACUUCUUUAUAUGAUAAGAAAACGGGUUUGACAAAAGUAUUGCAAAAUCCCGACUCAAUAGUUAUCACUUGAAGCAAGGUGUAUUAUGAUGGUUCCAGAAAAGGAACACGUGUCUUGCUGUUGCCUUAAUAACUAACUACAUACAUACUUAUUUAUCACAAUUCAUGAAAACUAGGUCCUUUUAUACCCCUAUCGAUAAUCUAUAUUAUAUGCUGGAAGUGUCUGUCGGCAACGGAAGUGAAAGCAAAUGUUCCGCAACGGAAGUGAAUGUGGAGAAAGUGAUUUGCAUAUCAACUGCGUUGGAAAGUUGAUAAGUCAGUUAUCUCCUUAUACAUCAACUUCCAUCAUCUUCAUCAACUCAUUGGUAUUAUAUGAGAUGAAAGUGAUGAUCAUCACUUUCACGUUCGUUGCGAAUUCCUUGGACUUCCUCGGCGACAAAGGAUUUCAGCUUACAAUACAACUAAAAUAUUUAAUCGGUUGGAGUUAUCAACAAUUCCAUCCAAUUUUUGUGAAAGUCAAAUCAGCCCUCGCCCGGCGGGAGACGGGCUUAUACGCUAGUUAAGAAUAUUAUGAUCACCUCCAUUUUGUAAACUUCGUAAAUUUUCGUAAAUUUGGUAACAGCGUAAACCGAGUAAAUGGAGUUUUUUAUGUAACAAGUACCUAUCAUCAAAUUGUAUAAAAAUGCACAAUGGAUGGAUAAGCUCACUAGUAAUUUUUAGUUCACAUUUUUGCCAAGAAUUUAAAAAAAAUAAGUUGUCAAGAAAAAUAAACGUAUCAUGGUCAUCUCAUGGAACAUAUGUACAGAAAUGUGGAACUGAAUUUGGUUAGGUUAGGUUCAGUUCACAUUAUAAAGUUACCAAAUAACUUCAGAAUUAAAUUACUUAAAUAUUGGAACUAAUGCUGGCUUAUAAUUAUCACACUAUUAUUUUAAGUUAACGGUUUUGAAUUUUCAAAAAAAAUAUUUCUACUUACAAGGAUUUUAUUAUUUCCAUCUAAAUUUUUACUAGUUUCUUCACAAUGGGCGGACUCACGUCACUUGCAUCAUACAUGCAAAAUAUUUUUAUAAAUUAAAAGUACUUAUGAAUUGGAUAGGAAAGAAAGAAUAAAACUUGAAAAUUUUGAAGAAAUCCAUUUCGUUGUGAAGGCAUCCCAGGUGUAACGUAAUGUGCGGAUGGAUCGAUUAUUGAUUAAUUGAAUAAUUUUGGGUCUCCGACUGGUUAAUCGGUCAAAUUAAUCGCUUCAAAAUAGCUCAAUUAUCGUUAAUUCAAUUAAUAAUUAAUUCAAUUAAUAAUUAAUUCAAUUAAUAUUUAUCAUAUAAUUUGCGAUAGAAUAAAAAAUAAUAAUAAUUUGCCUGUUUUAUUGUUUGACAACGAGUGGUACAUACUUUCUGUGAAAUUUUACCAGAUACGGUUCCGAGCUACCUGCAGGGACAAAUUUACUAACUUUUUGUCCAAAUUUUAUAUCAACUUUAUCAUGUCAAUUAUGCGUUUGAAUUCAGAUGCGUUUUAAUUAUCAGUGAAAUACGGCGUCUUAUAGGUAAAAUUAUUAGGUGUAACCAGAAUUACAUUUGGGGAAGAUGACCUAAGACAUCUUUUUAGAGUGUUGCACAGGGUUCUACGGUUCAUAAAAUGUGUCAGGUAUUAAAAUGGUAAAAUUAUUGUAAUCUGUGGAUUUAAUUAAAUCGUGCAAAGUCUCAUAAGACUCAAACUUAACAUCGACUUCAAUUCUUAAUUGUCCAUUGGAAUUGUUAAUUUUAUUCUAUUUUCAGUUGUUCUGGUAUCCUAUAGAGCAAGACGAUACCCUGCGAUAUCAUCGUUUUUAUUUACGAAAAUUAAUGUUUUCUUUUAAAUUUCAGUUUCUCUGCUUUGCCGCUUUUAAAUAUUGGUAGAAAUUGGUUACGGGAUAAGUUAUCUUAUUUAUAAAUUUAUCUUUUUUGCAUAACAAUUUCCGAAUUUGGUCUUAAUUUUUGUCGUUCAAUUUUGCAGCCGUACUCUCCUCUCUCUCUUCACUCGCUCAAUCUCUUUAUCUUCAAAUAAUAAUAAUGUAAUUAGUACUCGACUUUAUAAAAUUUUAUCAAUUUGUUGCUGUUCUAUAUUUAAAUUGUGAUAAUGAAUGUCUCAAGUAUUUAUGAAAUUUUAUAAACAAUGCAUAUUGUUACGAUUUA
Folsomia candida is the source of this 7181-nucleotide long non-coding RNA. RefSeq lists it as uncharacterized. NCBI's taxonomy places the organism in Eukaryota, Metazoa, Arthropoda, Collembola, Entomobryomorpha, Isotomidae. The transcript is spliced from 4 exons. The record is from RefSeq and is a predicted model, not a curated record.